AGUCCCCAGCCUAGUUCUACCCAGUCACUAUUUCCAAACUCUUACAUUAGAAUGUGGCUAUGCCUCUAGGCUUGGGAUAUAAGAGAAAGAAAUAAAUGUAUUUCCCUACUCUUAUCCAAAUGGUGGUCUAGCCUCCUCGUAUGAUAUUUGUUUACCUUUUACAUUACAAACACUUUUAAAAUAGGAACUAUUUUUUGCCUUAUUUUGUAUGUUCUGUAGGGCCCACACCAUAAUUUUUCACAUAUUUUCUCAAUUAAUUUCCUAAAACAUAAUGUCGUAAAUAUAUACUGCUUUUUAUUUUGUGAUUAAACAUAAUUAUAUUCUCUGAUUUCUUGAUCAAUUCUUGAUUCCCCUACCCUCUGAGUCUGAUACAGCCAAAUUCAACCACAGCAUAUUUUGUUCUCAGAAACUUUUUUGGCAAUAACAAUCUUAAACAAAGCAGUUUCCUUUUUAGGAUGUGUAUUUUCAUGUUUGCUUCAUCUGUUGUCCAAUUACAUUAGCCAAUUAAUCUUAAAUUAGAUUAAUUAAGCCUCAAAUAAAAGACUUUUGUCAGGUGUCAGAAUCUGGAAUUAAAAACAGCAGAGCAUAGCUCAUUCAACAAAUGCCUUGGGUUUUUAGGUUAAUCUAGCAUAUAAACAUUGAGCAUGCAAACUACUAAAUCCACAGAGACCUUUAACAAAUACUUUAAUUCUAAAAGGGCCUUAUUUUCUAGAGCUGCAUAAAAAAUUUUCAUGUAUUUAGAUUUAUGUGAUUGUUGUUAUAUCCUAUACUUAUAUUUGUCUUUGGUUUAUAUUUAUUUACAGAGCCCUUAUCCAAUAGAUUGAAAGUGUUAGACUGUACUGAAGCCAUUUUUUUCUGUCAGGAAUUAUAGAAUUUUAAAUAGCCUCUUUUCCAUUUUUGUGAUCUGUGUUCACACCUCUAGUAAUAAUGAAGUAGAAAACCACUCUCUCAUUGUACUUCAUUGCUAAUCUCCAGAGUUUUCUUUUACCUUACCCCAAUAGCUUAUGUAGUACACAUUCCUUGUAGGGUAUUCAGUUUAUAUAUGUCAGAUUCUCUAGGGCCAUGGCUUUUGCCAGAUGAAGCACUUUUGAUUUUGAGGCUGAUGAAACACAGUGCAGUUAUUGAUCUGUGCAUGACAUAGCCUGUCUCUCUCCUAGCAGAGUGUAGCAACAUUUAUCCAGGAAUUUGUGAAAUGUCACUCGGAUCAUGUUCGCAAGGUAAACUGUGCAAAACCCAGGAUCUGAGCUGAGAAUCCAUGUGGAAUUGGACGUGACUGUCUAUUCCUACGUCCUAUCUUCUGGAUGAACCAAGUGAUAUUUGUUAACAGAAUGUCUGUGUCCUGUAUUAGACUUUGUAAGGAACUAUUAUUAUCACUUAGAAAAUUGUGUACUAUAAAAUCAUACUUCUUAUACUCUGUUUUCAGAUUCACUUCUGAUCUUAACCACAGAAAAUAUAAAGAUAAGAAUAUGUGACCUGAAUAGCAUCAGUUAGAAAUUUCUUUUCUGUUUAUAAAUGAAGCAAUGUUAUAAUAUAUUG
Molecule: long non-coding RNA, 1536 nt
Organism: Lemur catta (Ring-tailed lemur)
Lineage: Eukaryota; Metazoa; Chordata; Mammalia; Primates; Lemuridae
Exons: 2
Source: RefSeq, a predicted model, not a curated record